UCGCCUAAAAUCGCGAUUUCACCACCGAUUGAAAGAGUUUGCCCGCAGGAGAACAAAAUUCAGUGUAGUUGCCACGUGUCACCCGCCUAUUGGCUUGAACAGAUCGAAGGCAAAGUAACUGUGACUCACCGAAUCAGUCUUCUCUCUUCAGUCUUCUCUUCAGUGACAUUCACAAUUCAGUAAUUCACGAAAUCCCUAAAUUGAAAAUCUCAAAUUUAACAACCAACAGUCUUCUCUCUUCAGUCUUCUCUUCACCGAAUCAGUCUUCUCUCUUCAGUCUUCUCUUAAUCUCUUGCAGUCUUCCUCUCAGCCAACAAUCAACCACCGUCACAGCCCUCGCUCGUCCCUCGUCUGCAUUAUUUCCAUCAUCGACGAUGUUCUUUCCACCGGCCACUGUGAGAAUCACAGUCCACACAACAACAACGGUCAACGACGUCUCUCCAGUCUUCACGAGAAUCAACAUCAAAUUGAGCAGUGGAGGGAACAAUAGAGAAGCAAGUUGAUUACUUAUUCAGGAUGUCCUUUACCUGGGACUGCAAUGAGUUGAUUUUUCCUUUUUAAUUUCAUAUAGUUGUAAUAACAACACAUGAAAAUUCUAUUUAAUAGCAUUGAAAAAAUUGGAAGUUCUCCAUUUAAAUUAGUAUUUCUGUAUUUAUAUUGUUGAGUUUCACCAUGAACCUGAAUAGUAUUCGUUGCUCUCAGCAACAGAAAGAUGAA
Populus trichocarpa (black cottonwood) is the source of this 717-nucleotide long non-coding RNA. RefSeq lists it as uncharacterized. Lineage: Eukaryota; Viridiplantae; Streptophyta; Magnoliopsida; Malpighiales; Salicaceae. The transcript is spliced from 2 exons. The record is from RefSeq and is a predicted model, not a curated record.